Molecule: ribosomal RNA, 254 nt
Filed under: uncultured bacterium
Lineage: Bacteria
Description: partial 16S ribosomal RNA
Rfam family: Bacterial small subunit ribosomal RNA
Source: RNAcentral
CACGUAGGGGCCAAGCGUUGUCCGGAUUUAUUGGGCGUAAAGAGCUCGUAGGCGGUUGGGUAAGUUGGGUGUGAAAACUCCGGGCUCAACUCGGAGAGGCCACCCGAUACUGCCCUGACUCGAGUCCGGUAGGGGAGUGGGGAAUUCCUGGUGUAGCGGUGAAAUGCGCAGAUAUCAGGAGGAACACCGGUGGCGAAGGCGCCACUCUGGGCCGGUACUGACGCUGAGGAGCGAAAGCGUGGGUAGCAAACAGG